AUCCUGGCUCAGAUUGAACGCUAGCGGGAUGCCUUACACAUGCAAGUCGAACGGCAGCACGGACUUCGGUCUGGUGGCGAGUGGCGAACGGGUGAGUAAUGUAUCGGAACGUGCCCAGUAGCGGGGGAUAACUACGCGAAAGCGUAGCUAAUACCGCAUACGCCCUACGGGGGAAAGCAGGGGAUCUUCGGACCUUGCACUAUUGGAGCGGCCGAUAUCGGAUUAGCUAGUUGGUGGGGUAACGGCCUACCAAGGCGACGAUCCGUAGCUGGUUUGAGAGGACGACCAGCCACACUGGGACUGAGACACGGCCCAGACUCCUACGGGAGGCAGCAGUGGGGAAUUUUGGACAAUGGGGGAAACCCUGAUCCAGCCAUCCCGCGUGUGCGAUGAAGGCCUUCGGGUUGUAAAGCACUUUUGGCAGGAAAGAAACGUCGCGGGCUAAUACCUCGCGAAACUGACGGUACCUGC
This 471-nucleotide ribosomal RNA is filed under the name Achromobacter xylosoxidans. Its description in RNAcentral is "bacterial SSU rRNA". It matches the Rfam family "Bacterial small subunit ribosomal RNA", at positions 16 to 482 of the family's 1533-position model. The record is from RNAcentral. Lineage: Bacteria; Pseudomonadati; Pseudomonadota; Betaproteobacteria; Burkholderiales; Alcaligenaceae.